This 243-nucleotide unclassified non-coding RNA is filed under the name uncultured fungus. RNAcentral describes it as "sequence contains ITS1, 5.8S rRNA gene". The stretch from base 195 to 243 matches the Rfam family "5.8S ribosomal RNA", at positions 1 to 49 of the family's 154-position model. The record is from RNAcentral. Lineage: Eukaryota; Fungi.
UCUCCGUAGGUGAACCUGCGGAGGGAUCAUUACAGAGCAUCAUGCCCUUCGGGGUAGAUCUCCCACCCUAUGUAUUACAUACCUUUUGUUGCUUUGGCAGGCCGCUUCGGCCACCGGCUUCGGCUGGUGCGUGCCUGCCAGAGGACCCCAAACUCUGAAUGUUAGUGUCGUCUGAGUAAAAACAUAAUAUUUAAAACUUUCAACAACGGAUCUCUUGGCUCUGGCAUCGAUGAAGAACGCAGC